CCUACGGGAGGCUGCAGUGAGGAAUAUUGGUCAAUGGCCGUAAGGCUGAACCAGCCAAGUCGCGUGAAGGAAGAAGGAUCUAUGGUUUGUAAACUUCUUUUAUAGGGGAAUAAAGGUAUCCACGUGUGGAUAUUUGCAUGUACCCUAUGAAUAAGCAUCGGCUAACUCCGUGCCAGCAGCCGCGGUAAUACGGAGGAUGCGAGCGUUAUCCGGAUUUAUUGGGUUUAAAGGGUGCGUAGGUUGUUUUUUGAGUCAGCGGUGAAAGUUUGUGGCUCAACCAUAAAAUUGCCGUUGAAACUGGCAGACUUGAGUGUGUUUGAGGUAGGCGGAAUGCGUGGUGUAGCGGUGAAAUGCAUAGAUAUCACGCAGAACUCCGAUUGCGCAGGCAGCUUACUAAGCCAUAACUGACACUGACGCACGAAAGCGUGGGGAUCAAACAGGAUUAGAUACCCUGGUAGUC
This 460-nucleotide ribosomal RNA is filed under the name uncultured bacterium. RNAcentral's name for it is "partial 16S ribosomal RNA". It matches the Rfam family "Bacterial small subunit ribosomal RNA", at positions 338 to 795 of the family's 1533-position model. The record is from RNAcentral.